UUGAACGCUGGCGGCAGGCCUAACACCUGCAAGUCGCACGGUAACAGGAAGAAGCUUGCUUCUUUGCUGACGAGUGGCGGACGGGUGAGUAAUGUCUGGGAAACUGCCUGAUGGAGGGGGAUAACUACUGGAAACGGUAGCUAAUACCGCAUAACGUCGCAAGACCAAAGAGGGGGACCUUCGGGCCUCUUGCCAUCGGAUGUGCCCAGAUGGGAUUAGCUAGUAGGUGGGGUAACGGCUCACCUAGGCGACGAUCCCUAGCUGGUCUGAGAGGAUGACCAGCCACACUGGAACUGAGACACGGUCCAGACUCCUACGGGAGGCAGCAGUGGGGAAUAUUGCACAAUGGGCGCAAGCCUGAUGCAGCCAUGCCGCGUGUAUGAAGAAGGCCUUCGGGUUGUAAAGUACUUUCAGCGGGGAGGAAGGGAGUAAAGUUAAUACCUUUGCUCAUUGACGUUACCCGCAGAAGAAGCACCGGCUAACUCCGUG
Molecule: ribosomal RNA, 489 nt
Filed under: uncultured bacterium
Lineage: Bacteria
Description: partial 16S ribosomal RNA
Rfam family: Bacterial small subunit ribosomal RNA
Source: RNAcentral